This is a non-coding RNA of Neotoma lepida (desert woodrat), 44 nucleotides long. The record is from Rfam. NCBI's taxonomy places the organism in Eukaryota, Metazoa, Chordata, Mammalia, Rodentia, Cricetidae.
CCAAAGGCUCUUUUCAGAGCCCCCACUCUUUCAAGAAAGAGUUG